UUCUUCUUGUAGACAAGAGGUAGGUCCUGUCCCAUGAUUAGUUAAAUGACCGCAGUAUUUUGACUGUGCUAAGGUAGCGUAGUAAUUUUUUCUUUAAUUAAGAGAUUGGAUGAAAGGAUUAACAAGAAUAUAACUUUACCUUUUUUUUUUGAUAAUUUUCUUUUAAAGUUAAAAAGCUUUAUUAUUUUAAAGGGACGAUAAGACCCUAAAAACUAUACAAAUAUAUCAUAUAUAGUGGUUUGUUUGUUUAACUGGGGCGGUUAUACUUUUGGAACAAUUAUUAAUAUAACAUUGUGGGUGGUUUUUUUUUGAGCUUUUGUACAAGAAGGAGAGUUACUUUAGGGAUAACAGCGUAAUUAUAUUGGAGAGUUCUAAUUGAUGAUAAAAGUUGCGACCUCGAUGUUGAAUUAAAUAGUUUCUUUGGGCAGUAUAAAAGAGGAGAAGGUCUGUUCGACCUAUAAUUGUUU
RNAcentral lists this ribosomal RNA (467 nucleotides) under Cirolanides texensis. Its description in RNAcentral is "partial 16S ribosomal RNA". It matches the Rfam family "Bacterial large subunit ribosomal RNA", at positions 1890 to 2597 of the family's 2925-position model. The record is from RNAcentral. Lineage: Eukaryota; Metazoa; Arthropoda; Malacostraca; Isopoda; Cirolanidae.